This 1481-nucleotide long non-coding RNA is filed under the name Homo sapiens (human). Its description in RNAcentral is "non-protein coding lnc-FBXO31-8:2". Lineage: Eukaryota; Metazoa; Chordata; Mammalia; Primates; Hominidae. The record is from RNAcentral.
CAUGGUCUAAUAAAGCCUUGUUGCUCGCCAGAGUUUCCUCUCUGUACCUUGGGGAUACCCCUUGCUUGGGUAGAGAGGAGGGAAAUUACUUUCCUUCUUACCUCUCCAUUCUUCUUGUGCACAGGCUUUGAAGGAAUGAGAGAGAAGUGGGCCACUGCAUUCUCAUUCCUGUAAGGCUCUGUGCCAGGACUCGCCCCAUCUGUAUAUUUUGAGCCUUUUAUUAUUAACCAAAGUGAUCUUGAUUGAUAACAAUACAAAGGCAAAGCUGGGAGUGCUCUGAUUUCUAGCUUCAGCUCCUUAUUCAUUGAUUCAUUAUUCAUUAUUGAUUAAUACAUAAUAAUUCUUUAUUUUAUUUGCCUUAUCAGUUCCUCACUCCUGGAAGGUUGGAGAAGGGAAGGGUGCUGCACAAAUUUCUUCUUGGAAUUUUAAAUUUUACUUUUAAAUUAUGGAUCCUUAAUGACUCUUUUUCUAAUAACUCCUGAAUUCUUGUGAUUCAACAGAGGGUAUUAAUUACAAAUGUGUUUCUUUCUCCUUUUUUUGGCGGGGGUGGAGUCUUUAUUUCUUUAUAGAUUGCUUUAUAGAUUAUACAAGCCAGGCAGUAAUUUAUCUUCAAGGUUAAACAUUCAGAUAAUUCUGAAGUUCAGAGAAAAAGGUGAUAUCCCCUUUCCUCCCCGGAUAGUUGAAACCUGAAUGGUUUAGAUGGCUCCUUCCUGGGCACUUCUGCACGUGAACGGAGAGUAAGCCUUUUCUCACAGGUUGCCGCAUCAGUGGAAAAGUCCCAUACCUAUUAAUAGGUUCAAUGGCAUUUCCCAGCACCUGUUGUGUGUCAGGUGUAAAGCUGGGAGCUGCAGAUUGAAUAACGAACAAAAAUGGGAGGCCGAGGCAGGCGGAUCAUGAGGUCAGGAGAUGGAGACCAUCCUGGCUAACAUGGUGAAACCCCGUCUCUACUAAAAAUACAAAAAAUUAGCUGGGCGAGGUGGCGGGCACCUAUAGUCCCAGCUACUCGGGAGGCUGAGGCAGGAGAAUGGCAUGAACCUGGGGGGAGGAGCCUGCAGUGAGCUGAGAUCGCACCACUGCACUCCAGCCUGGGUGACAGCGAGACUCCGUCUCAAAAAAAAAGAAAAAAAGAAAAAAUGGUCCCCUCCUUCCACAGCUCACAGGCUCCAGGCAUAUGAUGCUGGAACUUAGUUUUUCCUUCCCAUUUCACAAUAUAUCUAGGAUUUCUCCCCAUGUCUGUCUGCCCUGUACUCUUUAAUGUCCAGAGGCAACAUUGAAUUUUGAUGGACCUCAAAUUGACUUCUGAUUGAUUUGCCAUUAUUAAAAAGCAAAGCAGCAGAAGUCUUGGUUUACAUCUCUUUGAGAACCUGAGUGUUUGAUAAGAUUUAAAGAUUUUUUUGAUGGCAGGACACACAGUACCCUGAUAGGACAGGACACUAUUACUUACAGCUGCAAAUGGGAGCUGGCUGCCAGGCAGGGCCAUG